UACGUAGGGUGCGAGCGUUAAUCGGAAUUACUGGGCGUAAAGCGUGCGCAGGCGGUUUUGUAAGCCAGAUGUGAAAGCCCCGGGCUCAACCUGGGAAUGGCAUUUGGGACUGCAAGGCUUGAGUGCGGCAGAGGAGACUGGAAUUCCUGGUGUAGCAGUGAAAUGCGUAGAUAUCAGGAGGAACACCGGUGGCGAAGGCGGCUUUCUGGACAGAUACCGACGCUGAGGCACGAAAGCUAGGGGAGCAAACAGG
Molecule: ribosomal RNA, 253 nt
Filed under: uncultured bacterium
Lineage: Bacteria
Description: partial 16S ribosomal RNA
Rfam family: Bacterial small subunit ribosomal RNA
Source: RNAcentral